UUAUAAUUGGAGGGUCUAUGGUGUGCGAAUGCUGAGUUAUCCAUUCCAUUGCAUCUUCAGCAAUAGCGAAUCGUCAAGUAACAAUGAGUGUGUCUGCUGCUUCGUUGCCGUUAACGAGUUCGGCGCCUCCUCCCCGUGCUCUUUCUUUUCCCUAUUUCAAGUCCUUUCAUUUCCCCAUUCGCACCCCAAACCACAAAUUCUCCAAACGACUCAUUGCCAAUGCUGACUUCUCAUCUUCUGCUCCAACUUCAUCUACAGUUGAGGAAGAACAAGAAGAAGAAGAGAGCUACCAAGUUCUCUCGGCUAUGAAAAGUGACUACAAUGACAUAGUCAUUGUUGACACCCCAAAGUCUAGAAUGCUCCUCCUUGAUUCCACGCAUAAUGUUCACAGCAUUCUUUACAAGGAGCAAAAGUGGACUGGUUCCUACUGGGAUGAAUUUGCCAGCUUGCCAGCUAUUGUUCCUAAAGGUCCCAUUGCUAUCUUAGGUUUGGGUGGUGGAACUGCUGCUCAUUUGAUGCUUCACUUAUGGCCUUCACUGCAGCUUGAGGGUUGGGAGAUUGAUGAAAUCUUGAUUGAUAAAGCGAGAGAUUAUUUUGGCCUAUCUGAUCUUGAGAAGACAACAGAAGGUGGUGGCAUUUUAAAUGUUCAUAUCGGUGAUGUCUUCAUUCCAUCAGAGAAUUUAUGCAGAAGAUAUGCUGGCAUUGUAGUUGACUUGUUUUCUGAAGGAAAAGUUUUGCCUCAGCUGGAAGAGGUCAUUCCCUUGUAUGGGAUAAUUUGGGCAUGUUCAUGCAUGUUUUCCGCCACAACCGUGUCAUGCAAAGAGAGGGACGAAACUCUUGCAGAGCCUUGCUUUCCAUGUACAAUGUGCUACAAAUUUUGUGAUGAGCAAGGUAAGUACUUGGUUGGAAUUACAGGAGAGAUUGAUGCCUGACGGUCGCUUCAUGGUGAAUUGUGGUGGCAUUGAUGGGGAAUCCAGUCCAGAGUCUUUAUUAAGUGAUGAGACAUGGCUACUAAAUCCAACAUUGAAAGCACUAUCCAAGGCAUUUCCUGGACAAUUAAGCUGGAAAAGAAUGCCAAAGGUUAGUGGUGAAAAUUUUAUGGCACUCACAGGAUCCAUGCCUGAUGUGGAAUCUUGGUCUGCAAGUGUCUCAUCUCCUCUAAGCACAAAUGUUAAGGAUUGGAGACCUUGUGGGCAGGUUUCUAGAAAUUGAUACUAAUUUGUUCAUAGAUAAAAUAAAGUGUUUGGUAUUUAUUUAUAUAUUUUUUGAGAUAAGUUUUUUUUGAUAGAGAUGAGUUAUUUGCAUAAGUUUAUAAAGUAAUGCUACACAUCUAAGUCUUUUUAUGAACCAAGUCCAACAAAGUUAAACAAUAAGACUUGGAGUAAUUUUAGCUAUAAGUGAUUUUUGUUAUGUUAGACUAACUUGAUUGGACUUGGUUAACAAAAAAGACUUGGAUGUGUAGUAUUAUUCAAUUUUUAUUGGUACACGUUACUUUCUCGUUAUGAAAAGAAUAUAACGAGUAUAAAAAACAAGAAUAAAAAUGUUAUAUACACACAAAAAAUCAGCUACCAUCUAUUUGCAUAUAAAUAUAUAUGUUGUUUAACAUAUGUAUAAUAUGUAUUUAAUAUUUUAACAUGUAUUCUAUAAUCUAUACAGGUUGCUGAUUUUUAGUGUGCAUAUUAUAUGAAUGAAAUAAGAAAUAGUACAUGUAUGUGUACUAGUCUUGUGUGCAUCAAGAGUGGUGGUAUAGCUUCUUUUCUCGUAUUAAAAAUUUGUAUUUUUUUAGUAGCUUUUAUUUCUAAAAGUAUGUACUAUGUUUUGUACACACAAGUAGUGUGUAUCAUACAUUAAAACACAAAAAUGUUAUGGGUGUGAAAAAUGUAAUUACUGAAUAUUUAUGUGUAAAUAUAUAUGUUGUUUUAUACAAUUUUUUCAAGCAAAUAAUUAGCUACUAGAAUAAUCAAAUUUACUAUGGUAGAAAAAUCAAACCUAUAAUAGACAAAUAAUCAAAUUUGUUUAUAGCAGUUUAAAAAAAAUUGGGAUUGUAAUCAAGGAAGAGUAUCUUCUUGAAUAGUUUGUUUCUUUUUCCCUUUUUCUUUUGAUUUUGCUAUUGAAUUAUUAAGUUUAUUGUAUUAUUGGAACAAUUUGUGAUUAAUGCUUAUGAGUUUUAUGUUUUGAUUUUUUGAGUUGUUUACUUGUGUUGCUUAAUUGUUAAAUUUGAGUUUAUAAUUUUCUGCACCUUUAAUUUGUUAAUUAUUUCCAUUCUUGUCAUGAUUCAUGAGUGAGUAGUGUUUUAGUUGGUCUUCAGAGUGAAUUAUCAAGAUGAGUCUUGAACUAUUGUAUUACCUGAUUAAUUGAAUUUGUCCUUAAUUUGAAUUAUAUUAAUAGACAUCAACUCUA
Arachis ipaensis is the source of this 2400-nucleotide non-coding RNA. Lineage: Eukaryota; Viridiplantae; Streptophyta; Magnoliopsida; Fabales; Fabaceae. The record is from RefSeq and is a predicted model, not a curated record.